GGGCGCUGUCAAACAGUUAUAAAACAGCUCUGGGCUGACAGAAAGCAACCAGAAUACUCAGGCCCUGCCCCACCGAGGACUGCAGGCCUUACUGGGAAACAGCACCUGAAAGCAGAGCAGAGCAAGAAAGCUUCCUCUCUAGCUGUACAGGGUUUUUUUGGCACACAUGCCUAUCCCUGGCCUAGGCUGUGAUCCUACAUUUGUUCCUUGGCACAAGCACAACAGCUUGAAUACUCCUGCAGAACUUUCUUCUAUGCAGUUUCUGAAGGCUUGUCUACAUUACCCGCAGCGAUCGAUCCAGACGCGAUAAAUCGACCGCCAAGCACUCUCUCGUCGAUUCUGGUACUCCACUGGAGCAAGAGGCACAGGCGGAGUCGACGGGGAGUGUCAGCAGUCGACUCACCACAGUGAGACUCCACGCACUUUCAAGGCAAACGGCAUUCUAACGAACUCAAGCUACCUUGCUGCCUCUUUCUCUGCCCCAGCAGCUCCACUGGAAGAGUCUUGCCCGCAUAGUCAGGGCAUGGCGCCAUCAGCGGGAGCAGCAAAAAGAGGAAGGGCUGUUCUCUGAGAUAAAACAACUGGCACAGAAACGCUACUGAUAUUCCUGCAGUGUUGGAGAACUGUAUCCUUAUCUGUCCCUGCACAAGCAGGAGUUUUUUUAAAAAGGGAGUAAAGAAUUGUGAUGUCUCCUAGCAAUAGCCCCAGCACUCUUGAGGAACCUCAGCAGAAUGCAGAGCUCUCCGUUAUUUCAGGGACACAGGUAACUUUGAUCCCAUGGGUCAGCAGCAAUCACUGGAGCUGUGCACAGCAGUGAAGCUGAGCAUCCCCUGCUAGGAUCUUCCCCACACAAGAAAGCUGUCAGGAGGAGCAGUCUGUAUUCAUGGCCACUUUCCAGAGUGCCAUGGCAAUGCUCUCAUCCACAGAGACAGCAGCUCUCCAAGGGCUUGUUUUCUGCUGCAAGCCAGCUGCCAGCUCCACACACCAAAAACAAAAUGUAGGUGUGGGCCUCUGCAAGUGUCUCAGCCAGACCCUGCCACUCCUGAUAGCCACAAUGUUGUUCCACCAGCUGAGCCUGGCAUGGCCCACAGUCUGCUUUAUUUGCAGUUCCGUUCUGCAGUACAGAUGGAGAGAAACCUCUGCAUUUGCCUCUGCUUCUUUUUCAGGAUCUCUGGGAACUGUUACCAUUUCCGCCCUGCCCUGCUUCCAGGCUGUCAAGCUGCAAACUUUAUAAGCUGGAGGAUGUGGCAAUCUGGCAUGCCAGGAAAGUCAUUGUGAUACAUAAAUGGCAACUGUGUUUGAGGACUAUGGAAUCUGUGUAAGAACUCCUACACUCCUAGGCAGAAAGGGAAUGGGAUCUGGGAAAAAAUAAAAUAAAGAUACCCAUAGACCUUGGUGAAGACAGCUGCUGAGAACAUCCCACAAUGCAUUCAUAAAAACUGGUUAGGCAGCGUGGUAGAUGCAGAUGCAAGAACACAGUUGUUAUGUCAGAAAUACUUCCGCAAGGACACAAAUCAAACUCUCUUUCUUGAAACCAGUCAGUUUAACUAUGCCACUAACAAGCUACAAAAUCACAGUUGUAGAUGUCAUAUGGCAGGAUCUUUAUUCUACUGCUGGAGAUUAGGGAGGGAAAUAAUACUGAAGUAAUCCACCAAUAUUCCUGAAAAAAAAAUCAGUUACUUUAACCCUUGACUGCAGCAAACCACCUGAGAGGGUCUGGUUACUUCAUUUUCACCAGAUGGGAUGUUGGAUCAGAAGAAUGAUGACACCGGCCACAGAGGUUCAAUCUGGAUAGUGUUGCAAUGACCAGAAUGGUGUUCCAAGGCUGUGGUCCAUGACCUUGUGGAGCUCAAAUCAGGACUGCUGCCCUAAGGAGGGUCCACGAGAGCAAUAAUCACUUCAUGCAAGUAUCCAUUUUGAACCUAUCUGAUUCUGCCUGGAGAAAUGGCUUUGCAAUAGCAGACCACUCAUCUGUAAGAGAGACAUCAGAAGUUUUGAUGCUAGAUUAAUCAGACCUGAGAAUCUUAAUCUUUUCAGCCAGAAAUGCAUGAAUAGUAUCACUGCCAUGCUAUCUUUAAAUCAUCUGUAUGAUUCUGAGGACCAGUGGGAAGGCAUACAAAGAGAUUGCCCAGCUUUGAGAGAGAGAUCCUCCAUCAAUUUGCAUUCCAGAUCCUGACAUACAGAUGGGUCACCAGGGACUUUAUUGCUCUUUCCAGGUGCAAAGAGGUCAAAUCACCAGGCUAUCAAAUUGUCUUACAAUGAGUGAGGUUAUUUAUGGAUCCAUUCUGUGUAAUCCAACUACUGUCAUGUAAGCCUUGAUACUGAUCUUCCCCUUGGUGGGCAGUGCAUAUAGAGAUAGGAAACUCUGCUCUGCCCAGGACAGGAGAUGUUGAUUGUCUCUCUGAGGAAGGACUGAUCAUGUUUUUCGUAAUUUAUUUAUGAAAAUCUCAUCAGACACAUUGACCAUCAUGACUAAUACAAGACUGGAAGGAGCAGUGCACCAAGACUUCAAAAAAAUCAUUGUGUUCUAGCCAAUGGAUGCUGUGAUCUCUUUCCUUCUCAUACCUAUUCCCUGGAUUGAAUUGGGACCCCUGUGAGCCAUCUCUAUUAUCCCCAGCUGGCAUCUGACAUAAGGACUACUCUGCUUAGCCCAAUAAUGGGUGGAUCUCUUUGAAAAAAUCUGAUUCUCUGCCUUCACCAACUGAGGAGGCAAAGAAUAGACAAUGGGACUUUGGACCUCUGCCAACAGAUGUGAUAGAGUGAGAUAGGGAGAGGACUACAGGAGUUACUGGAUAGGACUCAUUCAUCAAAACACAUCUGUACAUGAGAUCACCAUUUCCAAAAAAGCUCCAACAAGAACUUGAUUUUUAUUUCUGUGACAUCAUUUUUUUUAUAGCUACUUCAUCUUCUGUUAACAUUCUUCUGAGAUGAGACCUUGUAUCUGAUAGUAUUCAUCCUCAGGUCAAAUUUAUGGUGGAUUUCCCUCACACCAUGUGUCUGUGUUUAUCAUGAGCCUACCAUACCCCACAACCAUAUCACUAUUCGUGCUUGUUUCAACUUUCUCCAUACAGAGCCUUGAUCAGAAAAACUGUCCAGGAAGAGAGAAAAAGUGAAUUUCUUUGUCCCUAAAAAUCAAUAUUUAAUAUUACCACAGCCCUGUAAGAGAUCCUGGGUGGCCCAGCCAUUUCAAAUGGUGAUGACUGAAAAUGCAAAAAAUAAAAAUAAAAAUAAAGUUGCCAUUCAUAUGCAUAAUGGGCAAAUUGUCAUCUGUAAUACAGUAAAAUGGGAAAGAGAAGAUAUGCCUCCUUUAGGAAUUUAUUCAGAUGUUUCAAGUGGAGUCAUACUCUGUUCGCUCUUUUCUGAGGCUAGAAAUAGGAUGGGGAGCAGGUAGUAUUUCUCCAGUCUGAAGUAAAAGAUGGACAAUUUCAUUCCUGUCCUACAGGAGCAGCCUUAGCAGUUUUGCCAGUCAGGGUGCAAAACGUUUUCAGUGUUCCAGCCCCCUGCACCACACAGUUGAGCAACCAAUAAAUAAAUAAUUUUUAAAAAGUGGCCAGCCAAUCAGAUCGUGGAGAGGAAAAAAAAAAAGUGCCACAGCAGCACAGCGUCCCCUGGAAGUUGGAACCACGGGCAACCACCCGGCUAGCCCAGCCCUAAAACCAGCCCUGCCUGGCAUUCCAUUGGUUGCUUGAGAUUGGGAGAAGGCCAUCCUAUGAUGCCUGCACAGUUCACAGGGUACUCCUCCUGGACAAUGCCCAGUAAUUUCAUCUUGACCAAAGCUGUAGGUAGCUAUUUGUUCCCAAACUGAAAGAACCUAGAACCAGCCAGCAAUCUUACUCCAGACAGGGCUAUUUGGGAGUCUUGCAUAUAGCUCUGAGGCCACAGAGAACAGCUACUGACCUAAUGCCUCAGCACCAUGCACUUGUUCUGCCUACCAUGUGCAAAGUUGUAUUUUCUCCUACUGUACAUCAGGGCCAAUCCCAACUUGCCAUAUGACCUGUAUUCCUUUCUAUAAUGUCAGGCAAGAGCCAGGAUGGCAAACCCACUUUCCCAAUGACUCCACAGACUCUCAGCUUUCCAUAAAGUUUCACAUUGAAUCAUUAAGAUAGCCGGGAAAUGAUCUGCCUGGCUGAUGUCAAGGACCAAAGCCCUAUAUAAAUGCAUGAACCAGCUUAGUAUCUCACUACCUUAUUCUAUUUGUUUGUUUGCUUGUUUGUAGGGAGAAGCCCUUAGGCUAUGGGACUUUAGGUUGAGAGGGACCACACUUGCAGCAGUGGCCACCCAUGUUAGCACUCCUUGCGACAGUGUGCGGAAGCACUUAGGGGGUCAGAUGAGGAGGGAGGUAUUUAUUUUAUUUUUGGUGGGUCAGAUGCCACCCGCAUUUUCCCUAAAAGAGGGAGAACUAAGGUGAUGUCUGCCUGGACUGGGCUGGAUAUGAAGGGGAGGAGUAAAAACCUCUUCCUUCUCCCCCCCUCCUCCCGCAUCCUCCCACACUGUUUGAAUUGACUCC
Molecule: long non-coding RNA, 4507 nt
Organism: Gopherus evgoodei (Goodes thornscrub tortoise)
Lineage: Eukaryota; Metazoa; Chordata; Testudines; Testudinidae
Exons: 6
Source: RefSeq, a predicted model, not a curated record